RNAcentral lists this ribosomal RNA (116 nucleotides) under Bacillus carboniphilus. Lineage: Bacteria; Bacillati; Bacillota; Bacilli; Caryophanales; Bacillaceae. The record is from RNAcentral.
UCUGGUGAUGAUGGCAAAGAGGCCACACCCGUUCCCAUGCCGAACACGGAAGUUAAGCUCUUUAGCGCCGAUGGUAGUUGGGGGUCUCCCCCUGUGAGAGUAGGACGUUGCCAGGC